GGUUAAGCGACUAAGCGUACACGGUGGAUGCCCUGGCAGUCAGAGGCGAUGAAGGACGUGCUAAUCUGCGAUAAGCGUCGGUAAGGUGAUAUGAACCGUUAUAACCGGCGAUUUCCGAAUGGGGAAACCCAGUGUGUUUCGACACACUAUCAUUAACUGAAUCCAUAGGUUAAUGAGGCGAACCGGGGAACUGAAACAUCUAAGUACCCCGAGGAAAAGAAAUCAACCGAGAUUCCCCCAGUAGCGGCGAGCGAACGGGGAGCAGCCCAGAGCCUGAAUCAGUGUGUGUGUUAGUGGAAGCGUCUGGAAAGGCGCGCGAUACAGGGUGACAGCCCCGUACACAAAAAUGCACAUGCUGUGAGCUCGAUGAGUAGGGCGGGACACGUGGUAUCCUGUCUGAAUAUGGGGACCAUCCUCCAAGGCUAAAUACUCCUGACUGACCGAUAGUGAACCAGUACCGUGAGGGAAAGGCGAAAAGAACCCCGGCGAGGGGAGUGAAAAAGAACCUGAAACCGUGUACGUACAAGCAGUGGGAGCACGCUUAGGCGUGUGACUGCGUACCUUUUGUAUAAUGGGUCAGCGACUUAUAUUCUGUAGCAAGGUUAACCGAAUAGGGGAGCCGAAGGGAAACCGAGUCUUAACUGGGCGUUAAGUUGCAGGGUAUAGACCCGAAACCCGGUGAUCUAGCCAUGGGCAGGUUGAAGGUUGGGUAACACUAACUGGAGGACCGAACCGACUAAUGUUGAAAAAUUAGCGGAUGACUUGUGGCUGGGGGUGAAAGGCCAAUCAAACCGGGAGAUAGCUGGUUCUCCCCGAAAGCUAUUUAGGUAGCGCCUCGUGAAUUCAUCUCCGGGGGUAGAGCACUGUUUCGGCAAGGGGUCAUCCCGACUUACCAACCCGAUGCAAACUGCGAAUACCGGAGAAUGUUAUCACGGGAGACACACGGCGGGUGCUAACGUCCGUCGUGAAGAGGGAAACAACCCAGACCGCCAGCUAAGGUCCCAAAGUCAUGGUUAAGUGGGAAACGAUGUGGGAAGGCCCAGACAGCCAGGAUGUUGGCUUAGAAGCAGCCAUCAUUUAAAGAAAGCGUAAUAGCUCACUGGUCGAGUCGGCCUGCGCGGAAGAUGUAACGGGGCUAAACCAUGCACCGAAGCUGCGGCAGCGACGCUUAUGCGUUGUUGGGUAGGGGAGCGUUCUGUAAGCCUGCGAAGGUGUGCUGUGAGGCAUGCUGGAGGUAUCAGAAGUGCGAAUGCUGACAUAAGUAACGAUAAAGCGGGUGAAAAGCCCGCUCGCCGGAAGACCAAGGGUUCCUGUCCAACGUUAAUCGGGGCAGGGUGAGUCGACCCCUAAGGCGAGGCCGAAAGGCGUAGUCGAUGGGAAACAGGUUAAUAUUCCUGUACUUGGUGUUACUGCGAAGGGGGACGGAGAAGGCUAUGUUGGCCGGGCGACGGUUGUCCCGGUUUAAGCGUGUAGGCUGGUUUUCCAGGCAAAUCCGGAAAAUCAAGGCUGAGGUGUGAUGACGAGGCACUACGGUGCUGAAGCAACAAAUGCCCUGCUUCCAGGAAAAGCCUCUAAGCAUCAGGUAACAUCAAAUCGUACCCCAAACCGACACAGGUGGUCAGGUAGAGAAUACCAAGGCGCUUGAGAGAACUCGGGUGAAGGAACUAGGCAAAAUGGUGCCGUAACUUCGGGAGAAGGCACGCUGAUAUGUAGGUGAAGUCCCUCGCGGAUGGAGCUGAAAUCAGUCGAAGAUACCAGCUGGCUGCAACUGUUUAUUAAAAACACAGCACUGUGCAAACACGAAAGUGGACGUAUACGGUGUGACGCCUGCCCGGUGCCGGAAGGUUAAUUGAUGGGGUUAGCCGCAAGGCGAAGCUCUUGAUCGAAGCCCCGGUAAACGGCGGUCGUAACUAUAACGGUCCUAAGGUAGCGAAAUUCCUUGUCGGGUAAGUUCCGACCUGCACGAAUGGCGUAAUGAUGGCCAGGCUGUCUCCACCCGAGACUCAGUGAAAUUGAACUCGCUGUGAAGAUGCAGUGUACCCGCGGCAAGACGGAAAGACCCCGUGAACCUUUACUAUAGCUUGACACUGAACAUUGAGCCUUGAUGUGUAGGAUAGGUGGGAGGCUUUGAAGUGUGGACGCCAGUCUGCAUGGAGCCGACCUUGAAAUACCACCCUUUAAUGUUUGAUGUUCUAACGUUGACCCGUAAUCCGGGUUGCGGACAGUGUCUGGUGGGUAGUUUGACUGGGGCGGUCUCCUCCUAAAGAGUAACGGAGGAGCACGAAGGUUGGCUAAUCCUGGUCGGACAUCAGGAGGUUAGUGCAAUGGCAUAAGCCAGCUUGACUGCGAGCGUGACGGCGCGAGCAGGUGCGAAAAGCAGGUCAUAGUGAUCCGGUGGUUCUGAAUGGAAGGGCCAUCGCUCAACGGAUAAAAGGUACUCCGGGGAUAACAGGCUGAUACCGCCCAAGAGUUCAUAUCGACGGCGGUGUUUGGCACCUCGAUGUCGGCUCAUCACAUCCUGGGGCUGAAGUAGGUCCCAAGGGUAUGGCUGUUCGCCAUUUAAAGUGGUACGCGAGCUGGGUUUAGAACGUCGUGAGACAGUUCGGUCCCUAUCUGCCGUGGGCGCUGGAGAACUGAGGGGCUGCUCCUAGUACGAGAGGACCGGAGUGGACGCAUCACUGGUGUUCGGGUUGUCAUGCCAAUGGCACUGCCCGGUAGCUAAAUGCGGAAGAGAUAAGUGCUGAAAGCAUCUAAGCACGAAACUUGCCCCGAGAUGAGUUCUCCCUGACCCUUUAAGGGUCCUGAAGGAACGUUGAAGACGACGACGUUGAUAGGCCGGGUGUGUAAGCGCAGCGAUGCGUUGAGCUAACCGGUACUAAUGAACCGUGAGGCUUAACCUU
This 2900-nucleotide ribosomal RNA is filed under the name Escherichia coli. Its description in RNAcentral is "23S ribosomal RNA". It matches the Rfam family "Bacterial large subunit ribosomal RNA". Lineage: Bacteria; Pseudomonadati; Pseudomonadota; Gammaproteobacteria; Enterobacterales; Enterobacteriaceae. The record is from RNAcentral.